GAUGAACGCUGGCGGCGUGCUUAACACAUGCAAGUCGAACGAAGCACUUUAUUACGAUUUCUUCGGAAUGACGAUUUAGUGACUGAGUGGCGGACGGUGAGUAACGCGUGGAUAACCUGCCUCACACAGGGGGACAACAGUUGGAAACGACUGCUAAUACCGCAUUAAUACAAGUAAUUCGCAUGAAUAACUUGCCAAAGAUUAUAUCGGUGUGAGAUGGAUCCGCGUCUGAUUAGCCAGUUGGCGGGUAACGGCCCACCAAAGCGACGAUCAGUAGCCGACCUGAGAGGGUGACCGGCACAUUGGGACUGAGACACGGCCCAAAUCCUACGGAGCAGCAGUUGGGGAAUAUUGGCACAAUUGGGCGCAAGCCUGAUGCAGCGACG
Molecule: ribosomal RNA, 386 nt
Filed under: uncultured bacterium
Lineage: Bacteria
Description: bacterial SSU rRNA
Rfam family: Bacterial small subunit ribosomal RNA
Source: RNAcentral